UACGGGGGGGGCUAGCGUUAUUCAUCGUUAUUGGGCGUAAAGGGUGCGUAGGCGGCGGGGCAAGUCUGAUGUGAAAUCCCGGGGCUCAACCCCGGAACUGCAUUGGAUACUGCCUUGCUAGAGUACUGGAGAGGGAACUGGAAUUUACGGUGUAGCAGUGAAAUGCGUAGAGAUCGUAAGGAAGGCCAGUGGCGAAGGCGAGUUCCUGGACAGUUACUGACGCUGAGGCACGAAGGCCAGGGGAGCAAACGGG
RNAcentral lists this ribosomal RNA (253 nucleotides) under uncultured bacterium. Its description in RNAcentral is "partial 16S ribosomal RNA". It matches the Rfam family "Bacterial small subunit ribosomal RNA", at positions 524 to 776 of the family's 1533-position model. The record is from RNAcentral.